RNAcentral lists this ribosomal RNA (292 nucleotides) under uncultured bacterium. RNAcentral's name for it is "partial 16S ribosomal RNA". It matches the Rfam family "Bacterial small subunit ribosomal RNA", at positions 505 to 796 of the family's 1533-position model. The record is from RNAcentral.
GUGUCAGCAGCCGCGGUAAUACGUAGGGUGCGAGCGUUAAUCGGAAUUACUGGGCGUAAAGCGUGCGCAGGCGGUUCGCUAAGUCUGAUGUGAAAGCCCCGGGCUCAACCUGGGAAUGGCAUUGGAAACUGGCGAGCUUGAGUGUGGCAGAGGGGGGUGGAAUUCCACGUGUAGCAGUGAAAUGCGUAGAGAUGUGGAGGAACACCGAUGGCGAAGGCAGCCCCCUGGGCUAACACUGACGCUCAGGCACGAAAGCGUGGGGAGCAAACAGGAUUAGAUACCCUUGUAGUCC